GUCUUCCCCUUCGGGGGACAAAGUGACAGGUGGUGCAUGGUUGUCGUCAGCUCGUGUCGUGAGAUGUUGGGUUAAGUCCCGCAACGAGCGCAACCCUUAAGCUUAGUUGCCAGCAUUAAGUUGGGCACUCUAAGUUGACUGCCGGUGACAAACCGGAGGAAGGUGGGGAUGACGUCAAAUCAUCAUGCCCCUUAUGAUUUGGGCUACACACGUGCUACAAUGGACAAUACAAAGGGCAGCUAAACCGCGAGGUCAUGCAAAUCCCAUAAAGUUGUUCUCAGUUCGGAUUGUAGUCUGCAACCCGACUACAUGAAGCUGGAAUCGCUAGUAAUCGUAGAUCAGCAUGCUACGGUGAAUACGUUCCCGGGUCUUGUACACACCGCCCGUCACACCACGAGAGUCUGUAACACCCGAAGCCGGUGGAGUAACCAUUUAUGGAGCUAGCCGUCGAAGGUGGGACAAAUGAUUGGGGUGAAGUCGUAACAAGGUAGCCGUAUCGGAAGGU
This 505-nucleotide ribosomal RNA is filed under the name uncultured bacterium. RNAcentral's name for it is "bacterial SSU rRNA". It matches the Rfam family "Bacterial small subunit ribosomal RNA", at positions 1010 to 1513 of the family's 1533-position model. The record is from RNAcentral.